RNAcentral lists this ribosomal RNA (441 nucleotides) under uncultured bacterium. RNAcentral describes it as "bacterial SSU rRNA". It matches the Rfam family "Bacterial small subunit ribosomal RNA", at positions 958 to 1398 of the family's 1533-position model. The record is from RNAcentral.
AACGCGAAGAACCUUACCUGGGUUUGACAUGCACAGGACGCUGGUAGAGAUAUCAGUUCCCUUGUGGCCUGUGUGCAGGUGGUGCAUGGCUGUCGUCAGCUCGUGUCGUGAGAUGUUGGGUUAAGUCCCGCAACGAGCGCAACCCUUGUCUCAUGUUGCCAGCACGUUAUGGUGGGGACUCGUGAGAGACUGCCGGGGUCAACUCGGAGGAAGGUGGGGAUGACGUCAAGUCAUCAUGCCCCUUAUGUCCAGGGCUUCACACAUGCUACAAUGGCCGGUACAAAGGGCUGCGAUGCCGUGAGGUGGAGCGAAUCCUUUCAAAGCCGGUCUCAGUUCGGAUCGGGGUCUGCAACUCGACCCCGUGAAGUCGGAGUCGCUAGUAAUCGCAGAUCAGCAACGCUGCGGUGAAUACGUUCCCGGGCCUUGUACACACCGCUCGUC